UGCAAAGCCUAAAGGCGCAAUGAAAGUGAAGGUCGAUCUCACCGUCGACCGAGGGAGGAUGGCUCGCGUUACGAUGCGAGCUCGCACUCCCGGGGCGUCUCGUGCUCAUUGCGAGCAGAGGCGCACCCAGAGCGUACACGUUGGGACCCGAAAGAUGGUGAACUAUGCCUGGUCAGGACGAAGUCAGGGGAAACCCUGAUGGAGGUCCGUAGCGAUUCUGACGUGCAAAUCGAUCGUCGGAACUGGGUAUAGGGGCGAAAGACUAAUCGAACCAUCUAGUAGCUGGUUCCCUCCGAAGUUUCCCUCAGGAUAGCUGGCACUCGCGUGAGCGAGUCUCAUCUGGUAAAGCGAAUGAUUAGAGGCCUUGGGGCCGAAACGACCUCAACCUAUUCUCAAACUUUAAAUGGGUGAGAUCUCUGGCUUGCUUGAA
This 430-nucleotide ribosomal RNA is filed under the name Zagrammosoma buselus. Its description in RNAcentral is "partial large subunit ribosomal RNA". It matches the Rfam family "Eukaryotic large subunit ribosomal RNA", at positions 700 to 1095 of the family's 3401-position model. The record is from RNAcentral. Lineage: Eukaryota; Metazoa; Arthropoda; Insecta; Hymenoptera; Eulophidae.